Molecule: ribosomal RNA, 301 nt
Filed under: uncultured bacterium
Lineage: Bacteria
Description: partial 16S ribosomal RNA
Rfam family: Bacterial small subunit ribosomal RNA
Source: RNAcentral
CAGCAGCCGCGGGAAUACGAAGGGGGCUAGCGUUGUUCGGAAUUACUGGGCGUAAAGCGCACGUAGGCGGAUAUUUAAGUCAGGGGUGAAAUCCCAGAGCUCAACUCUGGAACUGCCUUUGAUACUGGGUAUCUUGAGUAUGGAAGAGGUUAGUGGAAUUGCGAGUGUAGAGGUGAAAUUCGUAGAUAUUCGCAGGAACACCAGUGGCGAAGGCGGCUAACUGGUCCAUAACUGACGCUGAGGUGCGAAAGCGUGGGGAGCAAACAGGAUUAGAUACCCCGGUAGUCCCUGUCUCUUAUAC